CGGGUGAGUAACGCGUGAGUAACCUGCCUUACACAAGGGGAUAGCCGUUGGAAACGACGAAUAAUACCCUAUGAAACUAUCACUUCGCAUGAAGCGAUAGUCAAAGUGUUAGCGGUGUAAGAUGGACUUGCGUCUGAUUAGCUAGUUGGUGAGAAAAAAGCCCACCAAGGCAACGAUCAGUAGCCGGCUUGAGAGAGUGUACGGCCACAUUGGGACUGAGACACGGCCCAG
Molecule: ribosomal RNA, 231 nt
Filed under: uncultured Eubacteriales bacterium
Lineage: Bacteria; Bacillati; Bacillota; Clostridia; Eubacteriales
Description: uncultured Clostridiales bacterium partial 16S ribosomal RNA
Rfam family: Bacterial small subunit ribosomal RNA
Source: RNAcentral